AACGAACGCUGGCGGCGCGCCUAAUACAUGCAAGUCGAGCGAGAAGACGUAGCAAUACGUUUGUAAAGCGGCGAACGGGUGAGGGAAUACAUGGGUAACCUACCCUCGAGUGGGGAAUAACUAGCCGAAAGGUUAGCUAAUACCGCGUACGCUCCUUGGACUUCGGUUCAGGGAGGAAAGCGAUACCGUGGGUAUCGCGCUCUUGGAUGGGCUCAUGUCCUAUCAGCUUGUUGGUGAGGAACGGCUCACCAAGGCUUCGACGGGUAGCUGGUCUGAGAGGACGAUCAGCCACACUGGCACUGCGACACGGGCCAGACUCCUACGGGAGCAGCAGUAAGGAUAUGCGCAAUGGGCGAAAGCCUGACGCAGCGACGCCGCGUGGGGGAUGAAGGUC
This 394-nucleotide ribosomal RNA is filed under the name uncultured bacterium. Its description in RNAcentral is "bacterial SSU rRNA". It matches the Rfam family "Bacterial small subunit ribosomal RNA", at positions 29 to 416 of the family's 1533-position model. The record is from RNAcentral.